This is a long non-coding RNA of Dermacentor silvarum, 920 nucleotides long. RefSeq lists it as uncharacterized. The record is from RefSeq and is a predicted model, not a curated record. The transcript is spliced from 2 exons. NCBI's taxonomy places the organism in Eukaryota, Metazoa, Arthropoda, Arachnida, Ixodida, Ixodidae.
UGUACCACCUCCGAAAUGCGUCAUGCAUCAUGUUUGUUUUACUUUAGCGUCGUUGACAACCUCAAAGUCGUGCCCAGUGCUCUUACAAUUCUAUAUUAUUGCUUGUUUUGUGUGCCCUCUCUGUCCGGAGUAAAAGAAAAUUCUGCUGCUUGCUUUUCAUCUUUCAGGAAACGGCUGCUUAAACAUCCUAGUCAGCACAACCUCCAUGUAAUUUCUUAUAAAUUAGAAUUCCUUUAGUAUGCUUGCUAAAGAGCUGUCGACGCAUAGCAACGGGUCAUAUUGGACAUUACUUUGCAUGGUUUGAUAAAUCACAUAGAAAAUAUUCAUUAUGCAAAAUUCACAUAUAGAUAUAUAUUUCUACAAGAAGGUGAUAGUUUUGCUGCCGCAACGUAUUCAAUGGAUAAAGUAAGCAAUGUAGCAUCAACUAUCUACUUGGUAGUUUGUUACAGAAAUCAGGUGUCAUUUAACUUUUACCAGGCAAUGUAUAAUCCUCCCUAACCAUUUUCUUUUUUUUUUCAGGUCAUGUAACACAAAACUUAAAGCACGAAAUUGUAUUUUUGGAUGAAACCCACCACUGUGCCGUGAUUCUAGUCCUGCCAAUGUCUGACUUUGCGGGACGAAGAAGCAUGGAACUGCGAGUCUGGAACUCGUCCAUUCAUACUGGCCCAUCCCAUAAAUGUUUAAAGCACUACUACAGCGUAGAAAGUCACGGACAUGUCAUUUACAAACCCUACUGCCAGAAGUUAGUUUUGAACAAACACCCAUCUCUGCAGCCACACCAGCAGCUGCAAGGACAAAAGCAUUCGCUUACUAUAGCACAUAAACCCUCGGGGUAGCUUUGGCAUAAAAAUGGAAAGCACAUGGUAAAGUACUUACACAUAAAAUGUUUGUGUUGAAAUAAAGUACAGCUAACACUUGGA